AGUCACUGACAUUAGACUACCCCGGUAGUCCCAGCCGUAAACUAUGCGCGUUAGGUGUACUGGUGACCACGAGUCACCGGGGUGCCGAAGGGAAACCGUGAAACGUGCCGCCUGGGAAGUACGGUCGCAAGGCUGAAACUUAAAGGAAUUGGCGGGGAGCACCACAACGGGUGGAGCCUGCGGUUUAAUUGGACUCAACGCCGGAAAUCUCACCGGAUAGGACAGACAUAUGAUAGUCGGGCUGAAGACUCUACUUGAUGAUCUG
RNAcentral lists this ribosomal RNA (265 nucleotides) under uncultured archaeon. RNAcentral's name for it is "partial 16S ribosomal RNA". It matches the Rfam family "Archaeal small subunit ribosomal RNA", at positions 718 to 982 of the family's 1478-position model. The record is from RNAcentral.